AAAUCACUAUCAUCAACGAGAUAUCAUUAUCUAGAUUUCUAUGUGAAAGCUAACAAAACACAAAUCGAAUUAAGGUAGCUUUGUAAAAUUAUAUUAUAUAUUAUAAUAAUGUGGAAAAAUUAUAGUAUAAAAAUUGUAUAAAAGAUUAUAUUUUUUGAUAUUGUUAAGAACCACUUCAAGAUCUUGAUAGGUUCAAGAUCACUAGACAAUAAUGGCUUCAACACGAUUCGAGGUAGACAAGUUCUCGAGUACAAAUAAUUUUGGCCUAUGGAGGAUUAAGAUGAAAGCACUACUAGUUCAUCAAGGAAUUCAUCAGGCCAUAGACAAAGAAGAACUAAAAGAAUUGGGUGAAGACAAGAAGAAAAUCAAGGAGAUCGAGAUCAAAGCUCACAGUGCCAUACUUUUGAGCUUGGGAGAUGAAGUACUCAGGGAAGUUUCAGAUGAAGGUACUGCAAUAGGGUUAUGGGAGAAACUUGCUUCAAUUUACUUGAAGAAGUCUUUAGCAAACAAACUCUAUUUGAAGAAGAAACUGUACACAUUGAAGAUUGAUGAUGCCAAGCACCUCAAAAAUCAUCUUGAUGAAUUCAACAGAAUCAUUCUUGAUCUCAGCAACAUAGGUGUCAAGAUUGAAGAUGAGGAUCAAGGGAUCCUGCUGUUGAGUUCCUUGCCAAAAUGUUAUGAACAUUUUGGGUGUGUUCGGUAACCAUUAUAAAAAUGGUUUUUUGUUUUUUUAAUCAAAAAUUUAAAAAUAUAAAUAAAAAUUGUGUUUGGUAACUCCAUUUUAUUUUUUGUUUUUAAAAUUAAAAAACAGAAUUCAGUGAAUUUUAAAAACAGAUUUUAGAUGAUUUUAAAAAAUUUUAAAAACACUUUUACUUCUCUCUCUCGUUAGUCAUUCUUCAGAGUAGUUUCCAUGGCUUCAACUUCACCAUUACAAGAUUUGAAAAUGAAAAAAUGAGAAGAGCAUGACAAUGAAAGUGGUUUCUUAGAGAGAAAGAUCUUUUUGCUAUUACAGAUGACAAGAACAGAUAGUGAGGUGGUUAUUAUUGAUAAUAGCGAAGCUUCUGUUUGGCCUGAAAAACAAGAAGAAAUUUUUAUUGAACUUAUGGAAGAAGAAGUUUUGAAGGGAAAUAGGAAUACUAUAACCUUUACAAAGCAAUCGUGGAAGCGUAUAAAGGAGGAGCUAUAUGCACAAGCGAAGAGAAGUUACACUGAUAUGCUGAUCAUAAAUAGAGAGCAAAUCGACGAUGAAGAUAAUGAGUGAAAAUUAUUAACAAUUAGAAUUUUUUUAAUAGUUUUCUUCAAUAUUAGACAAUUAUUAGUUCAUAUUUUAUUAUGACUUUGUCGGUUUUGUGUUAUAGAUAAUGAGUUUCGUGAUUUUAAAUUACUUGAAUUUUUUUAAGAUGUUAAUGAGUAUUUUUUAUUUGAUUUUUUUAUAA
Cannabis sativa is the source of this 1436-nucleotide long non-coding RNA. RefSeq lists it as uncharacterized. The record is from RefSeq and is a predicted model, not a curated record. Lineage: Eukaryota; Viridiplantae; Streptophyta; Magnoliopsida; Rosales; Cannabaceae. The transcript has 3 exons.